This 221-nucleotide unclassified non-coding RNA is filed under the name Hevea brasiliensis (rubber tree). Lineage: Eukaryota; Viridiplantae; Streptophyta; Magnoliopsida; Malpighiales; Euphorbiaceae. The record is from RNAcentral.
UGCAGCUUUAGUCCUAUCCAAUAGAACUGCUUAUUUUAUAGGAAAUCCACAUACAAGUAUAGAGAAAUAGAGAUGUAACACCAACCAUCUAAGGAAUAUUAUGCAAUUGUGCAUACAUACAAGUAUGUGCAUGUGUGUGUGGGUAAAGCAAAUUACUUCUCUGAGAUAUACUAUCUUGGCAGAAGCUAAACUCUGAAAAGAAAAAUAUAGUAACCUCAAAA